UUUCCGUAGGUGAACCAGCGGAAGGAUCAUUAUUGUAUAACCGAGGUGCGAGGGCUGUCGCUGACCCGAAAGGUCGUGCACGCCCGAGUGCCCUCACACACAUCCAUCUCACCCCUAUGUGCACCACCGCGUGGGUCCCCCUUUGGCUUGUUCGGAGGGGGGCUUACGUUUUCACACAAACUUUGUAUGCAGUGUAGAAUGUAUUUUUUGUUUUUGCGAUCACGCAAUCAAUACAACUUUCAACAACGGAUCUCUUGGCUCUC
This 263-nucleotide unclassified non-coding RNA is filed under the name plant metagenome. RNAcentral describes it as "partial contains small subunit ribosomal RNA, internal transcribed spacer 1, and 5.8S ribosomal RNA". The record is from RNAcentral.